CUAUGCGCCUUGCCAGCCCGCUCAGGUGUGCCAGCAGCCGCGGUAAUACAGAGGUCUCAAGCGUUGUUCGGAAUCACUGGGCGUAAAGCGUGCGUAGGCGGUUUCGUAAGUCGUGUGUGAAAGGCGGGGGCUCAACCCCCCGGACUGCACAUGAUACUGCGAGACUAGAGUAAUGGAGGGGGAACCGGAAUUCUCGGUGUAGCAGUGAAAUGCGUAGAUAUCGAGAGGAACACUCGUGGCGAAGGCGGGUUCCUGGACAUUAACUGACGCUGAGGCACGAAGGCCAGGGGAGCGAAAGGG
This 300-nucleotide ribosomal RNA is filed under the name uncultured bacterium. Its description in RNAcentral is "bacterial SSU rRNA". It matches the Rfam family "Bacterial small subunit ribosomal RNA", at positions 475 to 776 of the family's 1533-position model. The record is from RNAcentral.